GUGCCAGCAGCCGCGGUAAUACGUAGGUGGCGAGCGUUGUCCGGAAUUACUGGGCGUAAAGGAUGCGUAGGCGGAUAUUUAAGUCAGAUGUGAAAUCCCUGGGCUCAACCCGGGAAUGGCAUUUGAAACUGGAUAUCUAGAGUGCAGGAGAGGAAAGCGGAAUUCCUAGUGUAGCGGUGAAAUGCGUAGAUAUUAGGAAGAACACCAGUGGCGAAGGCGGCUUUCUGGACUGUAACUGACGCUGAGGCAUGAAAGCGUGGGGAGCAAACAGGAUUAGAAACCCUAGUAGUCC
RNAcentral lists this ribosomal RNA (292 nucleotides) under uncultured bacterium. RNAcentral describes it as "partial 16S ribosomal RNA". It matches the Rfam family "Bacterial small subunit ribosomal RNA", at positions 505 to 796 of the family's 1533-position model. The record is from RNAcentral.